AUUGAACGCUGGCGGCAUGCUUUACACAUGCAAGUCGAACGGUAACAGGGUGCUUGCACCGCUGACGAGUGGCGAACGGGUGAGUAAUGCGUCGGAACGUGCCGAGUAGUGGGGGAUAACGCAGCGAAAGUUGUGCUAAUACCGCAUACGUACUGGGGUAGAAAGUGGGGGACCUUCGGGCCUCACGCUAUUCGAGCGGCCGCCGUCUGAUUAGCUAGUAGGUGAGGUAAAGGCUCACCUAGGCGACGAUCAGUAGCGGGUCUGAGAGGAUGAUCCGCCACACUGGGACUGAGACACGGCCCAGACUCCUACGGGAGGCAGCAGUGGGGAAUUUUGGACAAUGGGCGAAAGCCUGAUCCAGCCAUGCCGCGUGUCUGAAGAAGGCCUUCGGGUUGUAAAGGACUUUUGUCAGGGAGGAAAUCCCUAGUGCUAAUAACACUGGGGGAUGACAGUACCUGAAGAAUAAGCACCGGCUAACUACGUGCCAGCCGCCGCGGUAA
RNAcentral lists this ribosomal RNA (500 nucleotides) under uncultured bacterium. Its description in RNAcentral is "partial 16S ribosomal RNA". It matches the Rfam family "Bacterial small subunit ribosomal RNA", at positions 30 to 523 of the family's 1533-position model. The record is from RNAcentral.